ACCUUACCUCUGUUGCUUUGGCGGGCCGCGGUCCUCCGCGGCCGCCCCCCUCCCCGGGGGGGUGGCCAGCGCCCGCCAGAGGACCAUCAAACUCCAGUCAGUAAACGAUGCAGUCUGAAAAACAUUUAAUAAACUAAAACUUUCAACAACGGAUCUCUUGGUUCUGGCAUCGAUGAAGAACGCAGCGAAAUGCGAUAAGUAAUGUGAAUUGCAGAAUUCAGUGAAUCAUCGAAUCUUUGAACGCACAUUGCGCCCUUUGGUAUUCCGAAGGGCAUGCCUGUUCGAGCGUCAUUACAACCCUCAAGCUCUGCUUGGUAUUGGGCACCGUCCUUUGCGGGCGCGCCUCAAAGACCUCGGCGGUGGCGUCUUGCCUCAAGCGUAGUAGAACAUACAUCUCGCUUCGGAGCGCAGGGCGUCGCCCGCCGGACGAACCUUCUGAACUUUUCUCAAGGUUGACCUCGGAUCAGGUAGGGAUACCCGCUGAACUUAA
This 490-nucleotide ribosomal RNA is filed under the name fungal sp. KL-2011. RNAcentral describes it as "eukaryotic LSU rRNA". The stretch from base 138 to 291 matches the Rfam family "5.8S ribosomal RNA". The record is from RNAcentral. Lineage: Eukaryota; Fungi.